GUGGAUCAUAACAUCUGAAGGAGUUGCAGGGCAGCCUUUGCUGACACAGGUGUUGUCGACUGGGAAUGAGAUAAAUUGGGCAGAGGGAAGAAGAGAGAGAGAUCAGGCAGGGAGAUCCCGGUGGAAUUAUAGGACCUCCUGGACAUCCAGGUACAAAAGGUGAGGCAGGUCCUCCAGGGAUAAGCCUGCCUGGUGAACCAAUUAGAAUGCUUGAAACUGGGCAGCAGUCCCUUAAGGAAUUUGGGCCAUUGGAUCAAGUUGUUUUGCUGGCCUAGAAAUGCUAAGUAAGUAUCCAGAGGAUUCAAUGCCUUUUGGGAAGCCGAUAUGUUUUGGGGGUUACCUGGUUUUUAUUCCUUUUGAA
Molecule: long non-coding RNA, 361 nt
Filed under: Sarcophilus harrisii (Tasmanian devil)
Lineage: Eukaryota; Metazoa; Chordata; Mammalia; Dasyuromorphia; Dasyuridae
Description: lncRNA (ENSSHAG00000031174.1)
Source: RNAcentral